This is a small nuclear RNA of Pteropus vampyrus (large flying fox), 107 nucleotides long. The record is from Ensembl. Lineage: Eukaryota; Metazoa; Chordata; Mammalia; Chiroptera; Pteropodidae.
GUGUUCGCUUCGGCAGCAGAUAUACUCAAAUUGGAACAAUACAGAGAGGAUUAGCAUGGCCCCUGAGCGAGGACGACAUGCAAAUUCAUAAAGCGUUCCCUUAAAAA